This 236-nucleotide RNase P RNA is filed under the name Lawsonibacter sp. Its description in RNAcentral is "RNase P RNA component class A". It matches the Rfam family "Bacterial RNase P class A". From Rfam's summary of the family: Ribonuclease P (RNase P) is a ubiquitous endoribonuclease, found in archaea, bacteria and eukarya as well as chloroplasts and mitochondria. Its best characterised activity is the generation of mature 5'-ends of tRNAs by cleaving the 5'-leader elements of precursor-tRNAs. The record is from RNAcentral. Lineage: Bacteria; Bacillati; Bacillota; Clostridia; Eubacteriales; Oscillospiraceae.
GCAGUAAGCUGGACAGCCGCGCGGGCGGGGCGAAAGGCCCGCCUGUGAGGAAAGUCCGGGCUCCGCAGGGCAAGGAUAACGGGUAACACCCGCCGGGUAUCCGGAGCAACGCCGUGGAGGGACAUACAGGCCGGCCCGGCCGUCCCGGGGAGGCGGCUAGAGCGCGUCAGCAAUGGCGCGUCGAGAUAGAUGGCUGUCUUAAAAGACAGAACCCGGCUUACAGGCUUUCUGCAACA